AUACAUUAAACUACCUAUGCGUAUGUUUUUAUUUCGGCGCCAUUUCUAAGAGGUUGGAGAUAAUAACAUAACCUCACGUUUGAAUUAUCAACUAUAUUGUAUGGCGAAUGUGAAUGGUGAUCCGUUGUUAUCAUUAUGUUUGAGUUUCAGUAAUAAUUUUUCGAUUUCGUCCAGUUAUAUUACGUUUUUCUUCGGUUUAUAGUGCAAAAUUGGAUUUGCUGCUCGGUGUGCGAACACGAAGUUUCAAUUUUGUAUUUUUAAAUAAUAAUAGUCCGUUUUGUGAACGCCGGAUUAUUGAACAUCGGUUGUAUAAAUAAUUGAGUGAAGUGGUUGUUUACAUAUUGUUCUUUUUUUUAAUUUUGUAGUGUUUUGUGGAUGUUAAAACUAUAUUAAAUAUGUGAUUAAAUUAUGUAUAGUGGAAAUUAGAACAUAAAUAAACAAUAGAAUAAUGCAUUUAAAUUAAUUUUGGUUUUAAACCAUUUACAAAAAGUUAAGUGUCGUUAGUAACUCUUUCCGUUAAAGUAAUAACCCGAGUAAUAAUUUAGGUAUAUGAAAAUUACUAAUGGGUACUUGUUACUUCGAUUCAAUUGAAAUUAAAAUAUUUUAGACCUAAAAUAUAAUUAUGGUAGUUUAAAACAAAUCACAAAAUUAAUUGUUAUUACUAUCAAUUGUAAAUUUGGAAAGCUAAAAUGCGUUGUUUCAUUGAAAUGGGUUUAAUAUAUAAACACAUUAAUUUCACUAACCAACUUUAAAAUGUUUUAUGUAUUCUGUGAUCAAUUCUAUAUGUAUGGUCAAUAGUUAUAUAAGAUUUUUAUAUUGUUUGUUUUGAUAUAUGUAAGUGAUUAUCUAAAUCAGUUUUGGUUUUUAUUUAGGAGUGGGUAUGUAAUAUACGCACACAUUUUAUCUGGCCCGCAGACAAAAAAAAAAAAAAAUAAAAACUGUUCAUACUUAAUAUUAUACCUUCUAGUGUUGUAAUUUAUCAUUUUGUUCAUUGGUUUUUACCAAUCUGCAAGUUUGAUGGCAUGCAAACAAUUUCAAGAUUCUUAAUGCGGCAUUUCAAAAAUAUUAAUUGGUGACCUCUGGUCUAGGGUGAUCAUAUUAAAUUUAAUGAAAUUCAAGAUCACAAAUUCCAACUUGUCCUAGCCAUUACUUUACUUCAUCUUACUAUUUCCAUGUGAACCAAAUAUACAGUUAAUCAUUUAAUACCUACUUUAUAACUCAAGUUAUCUAAUUUGUUUAUAUUUUUUAAACCUCCUUAAUUAACAAUUCAAUUUUUUCACUAUUUUGUAAAUGAUUUAAAAAAAAUUUGUUAUCAAUGUACAAUAAAAUCAGUUAUUGAAAUAAUAUCACACAUCGUUCUAGUUGGAUAUUUAUGUACUCAUAAUCUCAUUAUUUAUUUAGAAAAUAACUUUUUAGUGUUUUUAUAAGUGCUAAUUUUAUGAAAAUGGAGUGCCUGUUGUUUGCUGUGAAUAGUCAGGAUACGAAGAUACCUACUAUUGUAACUACUGGUGAUUUUCCAUGUUCAAUUUUACAGUUACAAAUGAG
Long non-coding RNA from Metopolophium dirhodum (rose-grain aphid), 1545 nucleotides. RefSeq lists it as uncharacterized. The transcript has 2 exons. The record is from RefSeq and is a predicted model, not a curated record. NCBI's taxonomy places the organism in Eukaryota, Metazoa, Arthropoda, Insecta, Hemiptera, Aphididae.